Molecule: ribosomal RNA, 424 nt
Filed under: uncultured prokaryote
Description: bacterial SSU rRNA
Rfam family: Bacterial small subunit ribosomal RNA
Source: RNAcentral
UGGGGAAUAUUGGACAAUGGGGGCAACCCUGAUCCAGCCAUGCCGCGUGAGUGAUGAAGGCCUUAGGGUUGUAAAACUCUUUCAGUGGUGACGAUAAUGACGGUAACCACAGAAGAAGCCCCGGCUAACUCCGUGCCAGCAGCCGCGGUAAGACGGAGGGCGCUAGCGUUGUUCGGAAUCACUGGGCGUAAAGGGCGCGUAGGCGGCUGCUUAAGUCGAGGGUGAAAGCCCGGGGCUCAACCUCGGAACGGCCUUCGAGACUGGGCGGCUAGGGACCGGAAGAGGAGGGUGGAAUACCCAGUGUAGAGGUGAAAUUCGUAGAUAUUGGGUGGAACACCAGUGGCGAAAGCGGCUCUCUGGUCCGGAUCUGACGCUGAGGCGCGAAAGCGUGGGGAGCAAACAGGAUUAGAUACCCCCGUAGUCC